Oncorhynchus keta (chum salmon) is the source of this 470-nucleotide long non-coding RNA. RefSeq lists it as uncharacterized. The record is from RefSeq and is a predicted model, not a curated record. NCBI's taxonomy places the organism in Eukaryota, Metazoa, Chordata, Actinopteri, Salmoniformes, Salmonidae. The transcript is spliced from 3 exons.
UAGCCUCGUUGUCCCUGACUGAGAACCAUACUUAGGUAGCCUGGUUGUCCCUGUUUGAGAACCAUACUUAGGUAGCCUGGUUGUCCCUGACUGAGAACCAUACUUAGGUAGCCUGGUUGUCCCUGACUGAGAACCAUACUUAGGUAGCCUGGUUGUCCCUGACUGAGAACCAUACUUAGGUAGCCUGGUUGUCCCUGACUGAGAACCAUACUUAGGUAGCCUGGUUGUCCCUGACUGAGAACCAUACUUAGGUAGCCUGGUUGUCCCUGACUGAGAACCAUACUUAGGUAGCCUGGUUGUCCCUGUUUGAGAACCAUACUUAGGUAGCCUGGUUGUCCCUGACUGAGAACCAUACUUAGGUAGCCUGGUUGUCCCUGUUUGAGAACCAUACUUAGGUAGCCUGGUUGUCCCUGACUGAGAACCAUACUUAGGUAGCCUGGUUGUCCCUGACUGAGAACCAUACUUAGGUA